AAUAGAUACCCCGGUAGUCCACGCCCUAAACUAUGUCAACUAGUUGUCGGGGAAGAAAUUCCUUGGUAACGCAGCUAACGCGUGAAGUUGACCGCCUGGGGAGUACGGCCGCAAGGUUAAAACUCAAAGGAAUUGACGGGGACCCGCACAAGCGGUGGAUUAUGUGGAUUAAUUCGAUGCAACGCGAAAAACCUUACCUACCCUUGACAUGUACGGAAUUCCGCAGAGAUGUGGAAGUGCCCGAAAGGGAACCGUAACACAGGUGCUGCAUGGCUGUCGUCAGCUCGUGUCGUGAGAUGUUGGGUUAAGUCCCGCAACGAGCGCAACCCUUGCCAUUAGUUGCUACAUUCAGUUGGGCACUCUAAUGGGACCGCCGGUGACAAACCGGAGGAAGGUGGGGAUGACGUCAAGUCCUCAUGGCCCUUAUGGGUAGGGCUUCACACGUAAUACAAUGGUCGGUACAGAGGGCUGCCAACCCGCAAGGGGGAGCUAAUCCCAGAAAGCCGAUCGUAGUCCGGAUUGUAGUCUGCAACUCGACUGCAUGAAGCCGGAAUCG
Molecule: ribosomal RNA, 556 nt
Filed under: uncultured bacterium
Lineage: Bacteria
Description: bacterial SSU rRNA
Rfam family: Bacterial small subunit ribosomal RNA
Source: RNAcentral